GAUAUUUUCUUUUAUUUUUUUUAUUUUUAUUUUGGAAAUAUUCGUGUUUAAUCUAAUAAUUUGUAUCCGAAUCCUCACGAGUACACAAACCUUUUAUUCUCUCUGUUACUAUGGAAACGCGGAUUUAUCGUUAUCGUUCACGUGAUCUUCCUCUUCCUGUUCCGGUCUCGGUGUCCGGAAACCGGAAGCGAGUUGGGUUCGACCUCCGUUGCCCGGAUGGACGCUCCCAUCCAAUUAUACACUCCAUCAGACUGCGUAAUUUGAUUAUCCAGUCUUUUCUAGUCCAUAUCAAGACACACAACCUCGUUAGUUAUUCAGCAGCCGAUAAACUUAACUAGACUUGGACCGUCCGUUUCUUUUUGUUGAUGCAUGGAAAACGAAUGCCCAAAUUAACAUCCUCUUCCGUUUCUCCAAAGCAUUUAAACCGGCAACUCUGUUUUUGCAACUGCCAGCUUAAUGCGAGGCAUCAUUGAACCAAAAUAGUCGUUUGCUGUUUUGCGGCCGAUCAAAGAUGAUGCCAAGAGAGAAAAAGUUUUUCGAGAGCGAAAAAAAAAAAAAAAAAAAUAUAUUCCCGUUUAUUGUUUAAACUUGAUGAUAAAUUCUUCCUAUCGAACGAAACUAACCAAAUUUCCCAUAUAUCUUAAUAAACAACAGCCAAGGUAUUCGUACGAAAUUUAUUCAUAAAAUCUUUUAACCACAACUGAAUAUUUUUCAUAGGUAUCGCACCUAUGUGCGUACAUAUAAGGAAAUUAUUCGCUUCCACCAAGGUAAUUUGCUCAUCACAAAUUAUCCUCCAGCGAAAGUUAACUAUUUUUCAU
RNAcentral lists this long non-coding RNA (818 nucleotides) under Androctonus crassicauda. Lineage: Eukaryota; Metazoa; Arthropoda; Arachnida; Scorpiones; Buthidae. The record is from RNAcentral.